AGCAGCCGCGGUAAUUCCAGCUCCAAUAGCGUAUAUUAAAGUUGUUGCAGUUAAAAAGCUCGUAGUUGAAUUUCGGGAUCGAAUUGUUGGUCGUGCUUCGGUACGCACUGGCAUUAUCGGUUUCUACCUUCUGAAGAACCGCGAUGUCAUUAAUUUGGUGUCGUGGGGAAUCAGGACUGUUACUUUGAAAAGAUUAGAGUGUUUAAAGCAGGCUUACGCUUGAAUACAUUAGCAUGGAAUAAUGAAAUAGGACGUUUGAUUCUAUUUUGUUGGUUUCUAGGAUCGACGUAAUGAUUAAUAGGGAUAGUUGGGGGCAUUAGUAUUCAAUUGUCAGAGGUGAAAUUCUUGGAUUUAUUGAAGACUAACUACUGCGAAAGCAUUUGCCAAGGAUGUUUUCAUUAAUCAAGAACGAAAGUUAGGGGAUCGAAGACGAUCAGAUACCGUCGUAGUCUUAACCAUAAACUAUGCCGACUAGGGAUCGGAUGAUGUUAAUUUUAUAAUGACUC
RNAcentral lists this ribosomal RNA (506 nucleotides) under uncultured Glomeromycotina. RNAcentral's name for it is "SSU rRNA". It matches the Rfam family "Eukaryotic small subunit ribosomal RNA", at positions 569 to 1077 of the family's 1831-position model. Lineage: Eukaryota; Fungi; Glomeromycota. The record is from RNAcentral.